AGUAACACGUGGGUAACCUGCCCCAUAAACUGGGACAACAGUUGGAAACGACUGCUAAUACCGGAUACUCUCGCGAGGAGGCAUCUCUUUGCGAGGAAAGGUGGCCUCUGCUUCAAGCUACCGAUAUGGGAUGGACCCGCGUCUGAUUAGCUAGUUGGUAGGGUAACGGCCUACCAAGGCGACGAUCAGUAGCCGGCCUGAGAGGGUGACCGGCCACAUUGGGACUGAGACACGGCCCAAACUCCUACGGGAGGCAGCAG
Molecule: ribosomal RNA, 260 nt
Filed under: uncultured bacterium
Lineage: Bacteria
Description: partial 16S ribosomal RNA
Rfam family: Bacterial small subunit ribosomal RNA
Source: RNAcentral